CCAAAGUGUUAGUGAAGAUGUGGAACAACGAAAAAAUUUUGUGCAUGGCUGGAAACCACUUUGGAAAACUGUUGGGGAUCAUCUACUAAAGCUAAGCGUAUCGAUACCCUGUCUGCGACCCAGAAAGCCCGCUCCACGUGCCCAACAGCCGUGUGAACAUGUGCUGAGCAGAAGACUUGCGCCAGGAUUUUCACUGCAACAUUGCAGCUAUAUCCACAGCGGUUGAACACUGGGCACAGCCUAAAUAUCAACAAGAAACUGGGUAAAUUACCCCAUUUUGUCCUCCUUUUGCAAAUAACUACCUAGACACGAAGACGUGAAUUCUUUGCUACCUGCAGCCAUGCAGGAACGUGGAUCUCACAGAUACGAUUUUGAGGCACAGAUGUGAUACAGAAGAGUACAUGUCGCGUGAUUCCGUUCAUGUGUCGUUGAAGAACACAGAAAAGGUCUUCAUGUUUUGAGAAACUGUACUCGAGGAGCUAUGCUCUAGGAAUCCUGAGGUGUUUUCUCCACACCUGGACCUGAUUUAGGUAACAAGAUCCUAGACUUCAAGCUGAUGCCAUAAAAGAAUGAGUUUUGGGGAGUCUUUGGAAAGCCAAGUGUAUUUUAACAUUUGCAGUGUAAAUCAGUAAGCCAGAGACUAGAGAGAAACAUGCCUACACAUACUUUGACAUUGCUCUUUCAAUGGAUGGAGAUUCAUUUUCCUCCCUUUGAAUAUGAGCAGACAUGGUGAUUCACUUAUAACAGUAGAAUGUGAUAGACAUGACAAUGUAUGAUUUUUGAGCCGAGACUGUGAAAGUCAUUGCCAUUUACACCUUGCUGUCUUGAGUACUCACUUUAGGGGAAGCCAGAAAUCAUGCUGUGAGGACCCUCCACCAGCCCUCUGAGAACAACUGAAGUCUUCUGUCAACAUGCAGCAUCAGCUUGGUGGCCAUUAGGUUAGAAGCAGGCUUGACUGAUCAAGAGACUGGGCGAAGAGCCAAGAGCCCGAGCUAUUGGGGAGAGGGCCCCCCCGUGAGCUAAAAGCUGCAAGAGGACAGAAGGUUCUGAAGUUCCUGCAUUGCCAUAUACCCUGAUGCAAAAGGAAGGCCCUGAGUACAUGUGGACUGACUUCACCUGGGGAUGGUCUUGUCCUCUGCACGUAAGAUGAUACAGUGUGCAUAGAGCACCAAUAAUAUUGCAGAACAUUUCUCCUUCCUCCUUAGGGGGAGAAGUGCUGGGAUGAAAAGGAUCUGGGAACCUACAUUUUAUUGUUCUGGCUAGCAAUUUUCAGUGAUUGUCAAGAAAAGAGAGGAACGUGA
Neofelis nebulosa (Clouded leopard) is the source of this 1301-nucleotide long non-coding RNA. RefSeq lists it as uncharacterized. The transcript is spliced from 4 exons. Lineage: Eukaryota; Metazoa; Chordata; Mammalia; Carnivora; Felidae. The record is from RefSeq and is a predicted model, not a curated record.